Molecule: unclassified non-coding RNA, 148 nt
Organism: Papio anubis (olive baboon)
Lineage: Eukaryota; Metazoa; Chordata; Mammalia; Primates; Cercopithecidae
Rfam family: Metazoan signal recognition particle RNA
About the family: The signal recognition particle (SRP) is a universally conserved ribonucleoprotein.
Source: Ensembl
GCCGGGCGUGGUGGCGCACGCCUGUAGUCCCAGCUACUCGGGAGGCUGAGGCAGGAGAAUCACUUGAACCCGGGAGGCAGAGGUUGCAGUGAGCCAAGAUGGUGCAACUGUACUCCAGCCUGGGCGACAGAGUGAGACUCUGUCUCAA